This 399-nucleotide ribosomal RNA is filed under the name uncultured bacterium. RNAcentral describes it as "partial 16S ribosomal RNA". It matches the Rfam family "Bacterial small subunit ribosomal RNA", at positions 338 to 734 of the family's 1533-position model. The record is from RNAcentral.
CCUACGGGUGGCAGCAGUGAGGAAUAUUGGUCAAUGGGCGCGAGCCUGAACCAGCCAAGUCGCGUGAAGGAUGACUGCCCUACGGGUUGUAAACUUCUUUUGUAAAGGAAUACAGUGAGUCACGUGUGCCUUUUUGUAUGUACUUUAUGAAUAAGGAUCGGCUAACUCCGUUCCAGCAGCCGCGGUACUACGGAGGCUCCGAGCGUUAUCCGGAUUUAUUGGGUUUAAAGGGAGCGUAGAUGGGUUGUUAAGUCAGUUGUGAAAGUUUGCGGCUCAACCGUAAAAUUGCAAUUGAUACUGGCAGACUUGAGGACAGUUGAGGUUGGUGGAAUUCGAGGUGUAGCGGGGAAAUGCUUAGAUAUCACGAAGAACUCCGAUUGCGAAGGCAGCUUACUAAAC